Malaclemys terrapin pileata is the source of this 79-nucleotide non-coding RNA. NCBI's taxonomy places the organism in Eukaryota, Metazoa, Chordata, Testudines, Emydidae. The record is from the annotation of a RefSeq genome assembly.
GCCUGGCUAGCUCAGUUGAUAGAGCAUCAGACUUUUAACCUGAGGGUCCAGGGUUCAAGUCCCUGUCCCUAGUCAGACA